This 393-nucleotide ribosomal RNA is filed under the name Triticum aestivum (bread wheat). Its description in RNAcentral is "partial small subunit ribosomal RNA". Lineage: Eukaryota; Viridiplantae; Streptophyta; Magnoliopsida; Poales; Poaceae. The record is from RNAcentral.
CUCCUUAGAAGGAAAACUUUUCACUUGGACAAUUAUAAUUGUGCUGUAAACAAUUGCCAGCAGGAAGAAACACUUCAGCACCUCUUUUGGACAUGUCCUUUUGCUGCACAGUGUUGGGAUAUGAUCUGUCCCUCUAGGCAGAGAAAUGCAUCAGUUCUCGAGGCUUUUGCUGAUCUAAAACUGAAACUUCAUCUGCCUUUCUUCAUGGAAAUCAUCAUCCUGGCUUCAUGGGCCAUCUGGAUCACUAGGAACAAUCUCAUUUUUCAGGACAUUCAACCAAGCAUUCAAGGAUGGAAAGGGAUCUUCUUGGAGGAACUAAAUUUGCUAAGAUUCAGAAUUAAGAAGAGCUAUGCUAGAGCUUUCUGUCUCUGGCUUGACAACCUUGUCCUGUAA